RNAcentral lists this transfer RNA (74 nucleotides) under Duvalius doderoi. RNAcentral's name for it is "transfer RNA-Leu". Lineage: Eukaryota; Metazoa; Arthropoda; Insecta; Coleoptera; Carabidae. The record is from RNAcentral.
UAUUAAAUUAUUAUUUUGGCAGAUUAGUGUAAUGAAUUUAGAAUUCAUAAAAGUAAAUUUUUUACAAAUAAUAC